GAUGAACGCUGGCGGCGUGCUUAACACAUGCAAGUCGAACGAAGCAUUUGCGACAGAUUUUUUCGGACUGAAGUUGCUCAUGACUGAGUGGCGUACGGGUGAGUAACGCGUGGGUAACCUGCCUUGUACUGGGGGAUAUCAGCUGGCAACGGCUGGUAAUACCGCAUAAGCGCACAAUGUUGCAUGACGUGGUGUGAAAAACUCCGGUGGUAUAAGUUGGACCCGCGUCUGAUUAGCUAGUUGGUGAGCUAUCAGCACACCGAGGCGACGAUCAGUAGCCGAGCUGAGAGGGCGCCCGGCCGCAUUGGGAGUGAGACACGACCCGGACUCCUUCGGGAGGGAGCGGUAGGGAGUAUUAGACAAGGGAGGAAACUCUAGUGCGGCGACGGCGCGUGAAGGAAGAAGUAAUGGAUAGUGAAAAGCUCUACUAACAGGGAAGAUAGUGGCGGUUCCUGGAAGAGUAGCCCCGGCUAAAUACCUG
This 481-nucleotide ribosomal RNA is filed under the name uncultured bacterium. RNAcentral describes it as "partial 16S ribosomal RNA". It matches the Rfam family "Bacterial small subunit ribosomal RNA", at positions 28 to 507 of the family's 1533-position model. The record is from RNAcentral.